AGACGCUGCUGCUUCCUCCGUGUGAUCCGGGGCUCGGGCUGAGCAGCUGCUGCUCCCCGGGGUCUGUGCGGGGAGAGCCCGGCAUUAACCCCUCCGUGCCCGGCCGGGGGGAGGGGCUUUCUCCAGCUGGGACCCGCCCCCUGGGCAGCCCCGGGCCGGAGCCCCCGGCCUUCCAUUCUCCUGUUAAAGAAGCAUCCCGCAGGGCUCCCUCUGCCUAUGUGACUGGCCAGCACGGGGUGGUGAUAACUUUCUAUCCACUCAUCAGACACUGUGAGCAUCCCUGGGCAGAAUCACUUUCCAGUGAACAACAAAAGGAUCAGACAGAGGAAAAACCAGUUCCUGACUCCAUAUUCCUCCUAAUAGGGUGUGGCUGCCGUGGGGUCAGUGUCCGAGGGAAUCCCCCACAGUGACUCCUUUGGUUCUGCUCUUUUCUAGCAUUGUGUUCAGA
Molecule: non-coding RNA, 448 nt
Organism: Chrysemys picta bellii (western painted turtle)
Lineage: Eukaryota; Metazoa; Chordata; Testudines; Emydidae
Source: RefSeq, a predicted model, not a curated record